AGCACCUACAUGCUUGUCUUGAUGUCACACACACCAAUGACUCGAGACUAGUCACUCUCCUUGAGAGAAGACACAGCAUGUACUGAUCUUAACGGACUGUCAAUGCCCAAUUGGCAAUCCUAUGAUAAGGAACGUUUAGGAUGUGUCUACGAAAGAAUGGUCUCAUGAAUCUAACUUCUUUAGGUCGCAUUCUCCCAAUCACAUAUUCCUUGGACUUAUCGUUUAAGCGUAUAACAUUUAUAUGAGAUGGCUCAAACAAUAAUCUUUGCCCUUGAUAUUAAACUAGAUUAGUUUAACAUGUGAAAUGUCCGUAAAGUAUCAUCAUAUGAUUGGUUUUAGGGCACAUUUCCAACAAUCUCCCACUUGCACUAGAGCCAAUCAGCUUGGUCAUCAGUGAUGAUACCUCUUCUGUAGUCAUUUCAUAAAUGGCUGAGUAGUAGGCCUAGACAAUGGAUAUUUAUAUGUUAUCCAUAGAAGCAACCUUGAGAAUAACGACGUCACCAUUAUACAUGAUUCUUAAUCAUGUGGUUCAGUCUCUCAUUUGAGUUCGGAUCUUGAUGAGACCUUGAUUCCCUGGCUUGAGCUAUCGCCCCAUUAGUGUCGUAGUGUUGGUACACUAGAGACACUUUCUGGUUGGAACCGAAUAGAGAGUUCAUAAAUGAACUUUCCCAUCCAAACAACAUUGUUGUAAGCUUCUAUAUAGCAAUAUAUUUUGCAUUCACAAUGGAACACUCUAAAGUCAUUACUUUUAAUGUUUCCAUCCAAAUAUCUCUUUUAGUCAUAAUAAAGAGAUAUGAUUAUCUCUUCAUUCAUAAUGAAGAAAUAUCCAAUGAUGGAUUAGAUUCAUAAUCUUAUACAUUUACGCUUCCAUUACGUUACUAUAAUUCUUCCUUAUUGUUUGAGGAAUCUAUCCUUUUAGUAUUUCUUAAAUACUUAAGGACUCACUUAACAGUUGUCGUGGUUCUGAUCCUGGGCUUGCACUGAUAUCGUCUUGUACCGUUCUAGGUACAACUCAUAUCAAUGUUUUUCAUACAAUAUGAAAUACAUAAAUCACUUUUCUACGUAUGCAUAAAGGAUUCUAUUUACGCAUUAUUUCUUUCGGAGUCAAAGAGUACGUUCUCUUUGAGAAGAGCAACUUCUUAGUCUCACUAGAGUUGUCCUUUUUUAUUGAAGUUCAUCAUCAUAUGAGAAACUUCCUAUCAUCUAUUGUCUAUUAUUAGGGAUUGAUAUAAUCAAAUUAUAUCUUGAAAUCUAUCAUUAUAGAUUUACUUCCCAUGUUUAUAGACUAUGUCUCCCAUAUACAUUAUAUCUUCAUAUAAUGUUUUAAAGUCAUAACUUUAACGAAGAAGUAUUCUUUUCAUUUCCAAAAUUAAUAUAUCAUAUAUUUGUUAUAUAUAUAUAUAUAUAUAUUCAAAUUUAGGAACAUGAUUAACUCCCACUAAUCUUUUGUAAACCUAAUAAACAAAAGAUUCAUUUACAUCUUUAUGAGAAAUCAAACAAUUUGAUCUUUCUCUCAUAAGACGCUUAUAGCUCCCACUAGCUUGCUAAGAUCCAUGAUGGUUGGAUCUCUACAACUUACAUGUCUUGUGAUUCAUAGUUUUAGACAUAUAUUAUCAAGACUAUCUUAAUAAUGGUUUCGGAAACCCAUAUUAUGUCCAAACAUUGAAUCACCAUUUAGUUGUAGCUAGCAAUCUUCGAAUUAAUUGAAACUAAGACUACGUCAAAGAUGGUUUCUUCAAAGUCAAACAAUCUCUUUGAUUGUAGUCACCUUAAGCUACUAAUUAGCUAUAAAGGUUUCAUUAUUUCGAGUCAAAUGGUACUUUACCAUUUUCUUGAGUAUAUAUCGUAUAUACACUCAAUGUAGUCAUAAGGAUUUUUCAUUCUUAUUUCUUUCGAAUUAAGAGGUGCAACUCUAUGACAUAGUCAUAAAGUUCAAACCAUUCAAC
RNAcentral lists this long non-coding RNA (1946 nucleotides) under Malus domestica (apple). RNAcentral describes it as "long non-coding RNA (MDOM_LNC001873)". Lineage: Eukaryota; Viridiplantae; Streptophyta; Magnoliopsida; Rosales; Rosaceae. The record is from RNAcentral.